ACGGCUGAGUAACACGUGGGCAACCUGCCCUCCUCUUGGGGAUAGCCUCGGGAAACCGAGGAUAAUACCCGAUACUUCAAUGUGGCCGCAUGACGACAUUGAGAAAGCUUUUGCGGAGAAGGAUGGGCCCGCGGCCUGUUAGCUUGUUGGUGGGGUAGAGGCCUACCAAGGCAAUGAUGGGUAGCUGGGUUGAGAGACCGACCAGCCAGAUUGGGACUGAGACACGGCCCAGACUCCUACGGGAGGCAGCAGUGGGGAAUCUUGCACAAUGGGCGAAAGCCUGAUGCAGCGACGCCGCGUGCGGGACGAAGGCCUUCGGGUUGUAAACCGCUUUCAGCAGGGACGAGGCGAAAGUGACGGUACCUGCAGAAGAAGCCCCGGCUAACUGCGUGCCAGCAGCCGCGGUAAUACGUAGGGGGCAAGCGUUAUCCGGAUUCAUUGGGCGUAAAGCGCUCGUAGGCGGUCUGUUAGGUCGGGAGUUAAAUCCGGAGGCUCAACCUCCGUUCGCUCCCGAUACCGGCAGACUUGAGUUUGGUAGGGGAAGGUGGAAUUCCUAGUGUAGCGGUGGAAUGCGCAGAUAUUAGGAAGAACACCAGUGGCGAAGGCGGCCUUCUGGGCCAUAACUGACGCUGAGGAGCGAAAGCUAGGGGAGCAAACAGGAUUAGAUACCCUGGUAGUCCUAGCUGUAAAC
RNAcentral lists this ribosomal RNA (691 nucleotides) under uncultured bacterium. Its description in RNAcentral is "bacterial SSU rRNA". It matches the Rfam family "Bacterial small subunit ribosomal RNA", at positions 102 to 807 of the family's 1533-position model. The record is from RNAcentral.